RNAcentral lists this ribosomal RNA (253 nucleotides) under uncultured bacterium. Its description in RNAcentral is "partial 16S ribosomal RNA". It matches the Rfam family "Bacterial small subunit ribosomal RNA", at positions 524 to 776 of the family's 1533-position model. The record is from RNAcentral.
UACAGAGGGUGCGAGCGUUAAUCGGAAUUACUGGGCGUAAAACGCACGUAGUCGGCUUUGCAAGUCGGGUGUGAAAUCCCCGGGCUCAACCUGGGAACUGCAUCCGAGACUGCAUUGCUAGAGUAUGGGAGAGGGAAGCGGAAUUUCUGGUGUAGCAGUGAAAUGCGUAGAUAUCAGAAGGAACAUCAGUGGCGAAGGCGGCUUCCUGGACCAAUACUGACGAUCAGGUGCGAAAGCGUGGGGAGCAAACAGG